This 502-nucleotide ribosomal RNA is filed under the name uncultured Sphingobacteriales bacterium. RNAcentral describes it as "bacterial SSU rRNA". It matches the Rfam family "Bacterial small subunit ribosomal RNA", at positions 903 to 1382 of the family's 1533-position model. Lineage: Bacteria; Pseudomonadati; Bacteroidota; Sphingobacteriia; Sphingobacteriales. The record is from RNAcentral.
CGCCUUGCCAGCCCGCUCAGAAACUUAAAGGAAUUGACGGGGCCCGCACAAGCAGAGGAACAUGUGGUUUAAUUCGAUGAUACGCGAGGAACCUUACCUGGGCUUAAAUGGGGAGUGACAGCUGUCGAAAGAUGGUUUUCUUCGGACACUCUUCAAGGUGCUGCAUGGUUGUCGUCAGCUCGUGCCGUGAGGUGUCGGGUUAAGUCCCAUAACGAGCGCAACCCUUACCGUUAGUUACCAUCAGGUUAAGCUGGGGACUCUAGCGGGACUGCCACCGUAAGGUGAGAGGAAGGUGGGGAUGACGUCAAAUCAGCACGGCCCUUAUGUCCAGGGCUACACACGUGUUACAAUGGCCGGUACAAAGGGCAGCUACUUCGCGAGAAGAUGCUAAUCUCGAAAGCCGGUCUCAGUUCGGAUCGAAGUCUGCAACCCGACUUCGUGAAGCUGGAUUCGCUAGUAAUCGCGCAUCAGCCAUGGCGCGGUGAAUACGUUCCCGGGCCUU